AACGCACCUUGCGCCCCUUGGCCAUUCCGAGGGGCAUGCCUGUUUGAGUAUCAUGAACACCUCAACUCUCAUGGCUUGCCCAUGAUGAGCUUGGAUUUUGGGGGUUUUGCCGGCCUGUGGUUGGCUCCUCUCAAAUGAAUCAGCUUGCCAGUGUUUUGGUGGCGUCAUGGGUGUGAUGACUAUCUACGCUUGUGAUCGUCUGCUGAGUGACCUUCAGCGAUGGAGGUUUGCUGGAGCUUACAAAUGUCUCUCCUCGGCGAAGACAGCUUUUUGAACGUUCGAUCUCAAAUCAGGUAGGACUACCCGCUGAACUUAA
This 316-nucleotide unclassified non-coding RNA is filed under the name uncultured Thelephoraceae. Its description in RNAcentral is "sequence contains ITS2". Lineage: Eukaryota; Fungi; Basidiomycota; Agaricomycetes; Thelephorales; Thelephoraceae. The record is from RNAcentral.